This 443-nucleotide ribosomal RNA is filed under the name uncultured bacterium. Its description in RNAcentral is "partial 16S ribosomal RNA". It matches the Rfam family "Bacterial small subunit ribosomal RNA", at positions 338 to 795 of the family's 1533-position model. The record is from RNAcentral.
CCUACGGGAGGCAGCAGUGGGGAAUAUUGGGCAAUGGGCGCAAGCCUGACCCAGCAACGCCGCGUGAAGGAAGAAGGCUUUCGGGUUGUAAACUUCUUUUGUCAGGGACGAAGCAAGUGACGGUACCUGACGAAUAAGCCACGGCUAACUACGUGCCAGCAGCCGCGGUAAUACGUAGGGGGCAAGCGUUGUCCGGAUUGACUGGGUGUAAAGGGCGUGUAGCCGGGCUGACAAGUCAGAUGUGAAAUUCCGGGGCUCAACCCCGGACCUGCAUUUGAAACUGUUGGUCUUGAGUAUCGGAGAGGCAGGCAGAAUUCCUAGUGUAGCGGUGAAAUGCGUAGAUAUUAGGAGGAACACCAGUGGCGAAGGCGGCCUGCUGGACGACAACUGACGGUGAGGCGCGAAAGCGUGGGGAGCAAACAGGAUUAGAUACCCUAGUAGUC